Molecule: regulatory RNA element, 100 nt
Organism: Vibrio sp.
Lineage: Bacteria; Pseudomonadati; Pseudomonadota; Gammaproteobacteria; Vibrionales; Vibrionaceae
Rfam family: Purine riboswitch aptamer
About the family: Riboswitches are metabolite binding domains within certain messenger RNAs that serve as precision sensors for their corresponding targets. Allosteric rearrangement of mRNA structure is mediated by ligand binding, and this results in modulation of gene expression.
Source: Rfam
CGCCAAUUUACAUAUCGAAGCUGUAUAUGUGAGGUGAUUUGGACCUCUCGUUUCUACCUCGGAGCCUAACUCUGAGACUACAGUUUUAUCCAGUCUACAC